UUGAGCGUCGUCACUGGGUUGUUCUGAUGGGAGCAGUGGCGGGCGGUGCGUUGGGAGCCGGCGGUGGAACCCGUGUCUUUGUGGGCACUCGAGUGCUCUUUGGUAAGGCGUGUUGGAGAUGGUCAGCUAGUUGUUUGGCUUGUCUGGAUCCAGAGCAAUUUUGUGGUGUUUGUCAGUUGGGAAGCUGCUUUGUGGGCGACAGGACGGCGGUUGCCGGCAGGUCACCGCUGGCCGAGAGGAUUCGCCGCGGGUUCGUUCACCUGAGAUCCAGGGUUCGAAUCUCGCAAGGAGAAAUGCAUUUGUAUUCAAUGUACUGUACCGCACUAACCAAUGAAUGCUGCGCUAUGCUUGUCACUAACCCUAACCAAUUCUCGAUGUUUGUCACUAACCCUAACCAAGUAAUGCUGGCACAACGUGUGUCACUGAUCCUAAGCAAAUGUCAUGAGUAAUGUAAUCAACCUUU
Hippocampus comes (tiger tail seahorse) is the source of this 463-nucleotide long non-coding RNA. RefSeq lists it as uncharacterized. The transcript is spliced from 2 exons. Lineage: Eukaryota; Metazoa; Chordata; Actinopteri; Syngnathiformes; Syngnathidae. The record is from RefSeq and is a predicted model, not a curated record.